GAAGAAGCUGCGGCUAACUACCUGCCAACAUCCGCGGUAAUACGUAGGCGGCAAGCGUUGUUCGGAGUUACUGGGCGUAAAGGGUGCGUAGAGCGGGUUUGUAAGUCUGGUGUGAAAUCUCCCGGCUCAACUGGGAGGGUGCGCCGAAUACUGAGGGGCUAGAGUGUGGGAGAGGAAAGUGGAAUUCCUGGUGUAGCGGUGAAAUGCGUAUAUAUCUGGAGGAACACCGGUGGUGUAAACGGCUUUCUGGACCAUUACUGACGCUGAGGCACGAAAGCGUGGGUAGCAAACAGGAUUAGAUACCCUGGUAGUCCACGCCCUAAACGAUGCAUAUUUGGUGUGGGUCAUUCAAUUGAUCUGUGCCGGAGCUAACGCGUUAAAUAUGCCGCCUGGGGAGUACAGUC
Molecule: ribosomal RNA, 404 nt
Filed under: uncultured Acidobacteriota bacterium
Lineage: Bacteria; Pseudomonadati; Acidobacteriota
Description: bacterial SSU rRNA
Rfam family: Bacterial small subunit ribosomal RNA
Source: RNAcentral